GAUUCCACCAUCUGCCAAAUUAGGAUUCGAACCAGGACUUCAGUCGUUUGCUUUUAUAUUUUGGAUAAAAGUCAAAUACAUUAGAGGAUAUUAAAUCAGAAUAAUUGUGGCUGGGAUCUCAAAAGCAAGUUUUUACAGUCAAUGGAGUCAUCAGGAUCUGAAUAUCAUUGGCAUUUAACUGUGGAAGGAAACAGGAUGAGGCUGUCACUGGCUCGGCCAGCAUUUAUUGCUGCGUUUACCCAGAGGGCAGUUAAGAGUCAACCACGUUGCUAUAGGUCUGGAGUUCCAUGCAGACUAGACCAGAUCCCAAUGAUCAAUGCCAAAGCCCCAUUGCCUGUGGAGAAGGUGAUGUUUGACUUCCCUGUACAGCUACAGUUCGUGUGGUGAAAUUGCUCCCACAAUGUGGUUGGGGAAUACAUCACUUCAUCGGAGGCAUUCAGAGAAGAUUGACUGGGAUGAUCCUUGGUUUGAAGGGAUUCUCUUUUAAGAAAAGGCUGAAGAAGUCCGGACUCUACUCACUCGAUUUGGGAAGAAUGAGAAGUGAACUCUUUCAAACAUAUCGGCUUCCUCAGGGGUUUGACAAGGUAUCCCCGAAAACCUGCUUAUUUGGCAAUUCGUUUGAUCACCUGACCUAAUAUACCCAUCUGUUGCCUAAUGUCAGAAAUCAUCA
Hemiscyllium ocellatum (epaulette shark) is the source of this 670-nucleotide long non-coding RNA. RefSeq lists it as uncharacterized. The transcript is spliced from 6 exons. Lineage: Eukaryota; Metazoa; Chordata; Chondrichthyes; Orectolobiformes; Hemiscylliidae. The record is from RefSeq and is a predicted model, not a curated record.